AUACGGAGGGUGCAAGCGUUAUUCGGAAUCACUGGGCGUAAAGGGUGCGUAGGCGGUUUGAUAAGUCUGAUGUGAAAUCCUAUGGCUCAACCAUAGAACUGCAUUGGAAACUGUCAGACUAGAAUACAGAAGGGGCAGAUGGAAUUAGUGGUGUAGGGGUAAAAUCCGUAGAUAUCACUAGGAAUACCGAAAGCGAAAGCGAUCUGCUGGGAAGUUAUUGACGCUGAGGCACGAAAGCGUGGGGAGCAAACGGGAUUAGAAACCCUAGUAGUCC
This 274-nucleotide ribosomal RNA is filed under the name uncultured bacterium. RNAcentral's name for it is "partial 16S ribosomal RNA". It matches the Rfam family "Bacterial small subunit ribosomal RNA", at positions 523 to 796 of the family's 1533-position model. The record is from RNAcentral.